This 513-nucleotide unclassified non-coding RNA is filed under the name Insectozyma morakotiae. Its description in RNAcentral is "Candida morakotiae partial contains ITS1, 5.8S rRNA and ITS2". The stretch from base 164 to 317 matches the Rfam family "5.8S ribosomal RNA". Lineage: Eukaryota; Fungi; Ascomycota; Pichiomycetes; Serinales; Debaryomycetaceae. The record is from RNAcentral.
AAGGAUCAUUACAGAUUAGAGAAGCUUAAUUGCUUUUUCUUACACUUGUGUUUUCUUAUAUGAAAAAUUUCUUUGGUAGUGGACUCAAUUGUUCGCUGCCAGAGGUUAAACUCAACUAAACUUUUUUUUUUAUUAUAUUGUCAACAAGAAAUCUAAUAGUUAAAACUUUCAACAACGGAUCUCUUGGUUCUCGCAUCGAUGAAGAACGCAGCGAAAUGCGAUAAGUAAUAUGAAUUGCAGAUAUUCGUGAAUCAUCGAAUCUUUGAACGCACAUUGCGCCUUUUGGUAUUCCAGAAGGCAUGCUUGUUUGAGCGUCAUUUCUCCUUCAAACCUUUGGGUUUGGUGUUGAGCAAGACGAUUUUCAGAGUUUGCUUGAAAAAUAUUUAUAGUUAUUUUACAAUGGAUAGGUUCUACCAAAUCUUUGGAAAUAUAUAACUACAUAUUUUAUCCAAAUUCGACCUCAAAUCAAGUAGGAUUACCCGCUGAACUUAAGCAUAUCAAUAAGCGGAGGAA